ACUCCUACGGGAGGCAGCAGUGGGGAAUAUUGGGCAAUGGGGGCAACCCUGAUCCAGCCAUGCCGCGUGUGUGAAGAAGGCCUUCGGGUUGUAAAGCACUUUCAAUUGGGAGGAAAGCCUUACCGUUAAUAGCUUUGAAUUUUGACAUUACCUUUAGAAGAAGCACCGGCUAACCCCGUGCCAGCAGCCGCGGUAAUACGGAGGGUGCGAGCGUUAAUCGGAAUUACUGGGCGUAAAGCGCGCGUAGGUGGUUUGGUAAGUCAGAUGUGAAAGCCCUGGGCUCAACCUGGGAACUGCACCUGAAACUGACCGACUUGAGCGCGAUAGAGGGAGGUGGAAUUUCCCGUGUAGCGGUGGAAUGCGUAGAUAUUUGGAGGAACACCGGUGGCGAAGGCGACCUCCUGGACCACUACUGGCGCUGAGGUGCGAAAGCGUGGGUAGCAAACCGGAUUAGAUAUCCCGGUAGUUCACCCGAUGUCGCUACACGUUGAAUUCCUUAGUUAUCUUUCGUGCCGCAGCUAACGCACUAAGUUGACCGCCUGGGGAGUACGGCCGCAAGGUUAAAACUCAAAUGAAUUGACGG
Molecule: ribosomal RNA, 583 nt
Filed under: uncultured bacterium
Lineage: Bacteria
Description: bacterial SSU rRNA
Rfam family: Bacterial small subunit ribosomal RNA
Source: RNAcentral